AGGGCCUGACGGUUGCUAGGGUGACAGGGACACAACAUGGCGGCCGGAUGCUAACGCUCUCCUUCGAGGGACCACGACGGAGAUCCUAGUGCGGGACCCCGCCUCAGGGAAGUGGAAAGCAGGGGGACACCCUUCCUGCCUCUUUCUUUUCGGUCCAGUGUCGGCAAGGGGUUGUCUCUUCCGCAUCCAAGAUGAAGAACUAUAAAGCAAUUGGCAAAAUAGGAGAGGGAACGUUUUCUGAAGUUAUGAAGAUGCAAAGCCUGAGAGAUGGAAACUAUUAUGCAUGUAAACAAAUGAAGCAACGCUUUGAAAGUGACAGAAAAUCUGGUUCUCUUGCACUAAUAUGUGAACUUAUGGACAUGAAUAUUUAUGAGCUAAUACGAGGGAGAAGAUACCCAUUAUCAGAAAAAACAAUUAUGCACUAUAUGUACCAGUUAUGUAAGUCCCUUGAUCACAUCCACAGAAAUGGAAUAUUUCACAGAGAUGUAAAACCAGAAAAUAUACUAAUAAAGGAUGUCCUGAAAUUAGGGGACUUUGGCUCCUGCCGGAGUGUCUAUUCCAAGCAGCCAUACACGGAAUACAUCUCCACCCGCUGGUACCGGGCCCCAGAGUGUCUCCUCACCGAUGGGUUCUACACGUACAAGAUGGACCUGUGGAGCGCCGGCUGCGUGUUCUACGAGAUCGCCAGUCUGCAGCCCCUCUUCCCUGGAGUAAAUGAACUGGACCAAAUCUCAAAAAUCCACGAUGUCAUCGGCACACCUGCUCAGAAGACCCUCACCAAGUUCAAACAGUCGAGAGCUAUGAAUUUUGAUUUUCCUUUUAAAAGGGGAUCAGGAAUACCUCUACUGACAACCAAUUUGUCCCCACAAUGCCUCUCCCUCCUGCACGCAAUGGUGGCCUAUGAUCCCGAUGAGAGAAUCGCUGCCCACCAGGCCCUGCAGCACCCCUACUUCCAAGAACAGAGAACCCAGAACAGAAGCAAGGAUGAGGCCUCAGCCGUCUUCCUCCCCAUUCAAACACGUUCAUCCCGCAAUCCUCUGCUAAGCACCCGCGUGCUGCCCGGCUGCACUGUCGCCCUUCUUGGUGCGAGCCUACCCUCGUCCACCCGCCUCACCCUCCUGACCUUAAAGAAGACACCAGGCAGAAGCACAGGGGAGCCCAGCCACUCCCCACACUGGUGGGGGCGGGCCUUGCGAGGAGAAGCAGUAAGCAGCCAUCUCCGUCAGCCAUCUCUGUCUGGCGCUCAGAUGUGCAUGCCUUCGUGUGACAGGCAGCAGCAGUGAGACCGUGACCUCCCGUCUCCUGCUCUGCUGCCCCCACACCUGCGGUGCAGCCAGCCUGCCACGAGGCGGCUAGAGUCCAGCUAGACCCACCCCUGGCAUGGCUGACCUCUUCCUGGCUUUCUCUGGAGGAGCGUGCAUUCUUCAACGCCAGAAGUGUAAGAAAGUACAAGGCAACAAGUGAGAAAAACCCAAAUCGUACCAGGGAAGUUCGUCUUUCCAGGGCGUCUGAGUGAGGGCAUGACCAGCCUUGAUGCUGCCUCACUGCCAUCUGCCCAGGGCCUGCUGAAUGCUUGAGUCCAUGGUGACAGUGGUGGGGACAGUUACGAGGCAGUUAGAUUUUGGAAGUCAUCUUGGCCGACUUGGCUACAGAGCAGUCUUAGGAAUAGCACCAUAAAAAUAAGGAUUUAUUCCUGGCACAGAUGGAUCUAGAGUAAACUGGGGCAUAUCUGACAGUGUUAGUACUGUGAUGGCCAAAUGCAAACUGUACUCCAGAACCAGCGAAGGGUGACAGACUGGGCUGAGGCAGAGCCAGGACUAACUAUCUCGAGUGAUACCAUCUCGGGGCCAGCAAAAGUUGUGGACACAGCUGGGUCAUCUGACCAAACUGCUCAAAUCUUGACAUUACUGUCCUGGAAACAGUAACAGGACAGUAACAAACAGACAGUAACAAACAGGAAACAGAAUAAGGAGAUGACCAGGAAGAUUGCCGGAUUAAGAAUUCUAGACUUGGCCAGGUGCGGUGGCUCAUACCUGUAAUCCUAGCAUCUUGGGAGGCUGAGGCAGGAGGAUCGCUUGAGUCCAGGAGUUUGAGACCAGCCUUGGCAACAUAAGGAGACCCCAUCUCUACAAAAUACCAAAAAAUUACCCAGGUGUGGUGGCACACAUGCGUGAUCCCAGCUACUCGGGAGGCUGAGGUGGGAGGAUCACUUGAACCCAGGAGGUUGGGGCUGCAAUGAGCUAUGAUCGCACCACUUCUUUCCAGCCUGGAUGAUAGAAGACUCACACCAUAGUUCAUGGCCUCAUGAUCCAGAGGCCCUGCUGGGGCCUCUGAGUGGGGCAGGCUGAGAACUCAAGCUGUAACUAAUCUCUCCUCUAAAGAAAACUAAACCAAGGGCUCAGCUGAUGUGAAGUUUUCUGUGGCUGCAUUCAUACAAAUGGUGAAAAUGUAGCAUACCUCCCCUCAAAAGCCCGAAAUUAAAGACAUGCCCCCAAUUUAAUGUGAUCAAUUACAGAAAUAGGUUUCAGACACUUCAUGGUUUAAAGUCUCACAAAAUAAAGCUUUCAAAGGAUCCAGUUGUAUAUGAUUUUUUAAAAAAAUAAACAUUCUUCUGUUUGGUAGCUGCA
This is an RNA transcript of Piliocolobus tephrosceles (Ugandan red Colobus), 2627 nucleotides long. It is a transcript of the gene named MOK protein kinase, with no coding region annotated. Lineage: Eukaryota; Metazoa; Chordata; Mammalia; Primates; Cercopithecidae. The record is from RefSeq and is a predicted model, not a curated record. The transcript is spliced from 11 exons.